This 395-nucleotide ribosomal RNA is filed under the name Ebriida sp. TAGIRI1 lineage. Its description in RNAcentral is "partial small subunit ribosomal RNA". It matches the Rfam family "Eukaryotic small subunit ribosomal RNA", at positions 582 to 975 of the family's 1831-position model. Lineage: Eukaryota; Cercozoa; Thecofilosea. The record is from RNAcentral.
AUUCCAGCUCCAAUAGCGUAUAUUAAAGUUGUUGCAGUUAAAAAGCUCGUAGUUGGAUUUCUGGUCUGAUGCCCUGGCCCGCGUCUUAUAGAUGUGUGUGCCGGCUGUGCGUCUGCCAUCCUUCUAGUAACCCUUCCUACCCUUCACUGGGCCGGGUUGGCGAUCUAGAUCUUUUACUUUGAAAAAAUUAGAGUGUUUAAAGCAGGCUUUUGCUAUGAAUACAUUAGCAUGGAAUAAUAAUCUAGGACUUCGGUUCUAUUUUGUUGGUUUCUAGUACUGAAGUAAUGAUUGAUAGGGAUAGUUGGGGGUGCUAGUAUUGGGCGGCCAGAGGUGAAAUUCUUGGAUUCGCUCAAGACUAACUUAUGCGAAAGCAUUCACCAAGGAUGUCUUCAUCA